Aegilops tauschii subsp. strangulata is the source of this 3332-nucleotide non-coding RNA. NCBI's taxonomy places the organism in Eukaryota, Viridiplantae, Streptophyta, Magnoliopsida, Poales, Poaceae. The record is from RefSeq and is a predicted model, not a curated record.
UCGAACCCACCCCGCACGACUUGGCUCCUCCCGAUCCCUAGAACUCCCAGAGGAGACGCCGCCGCCGCUGUUCGUGACGCAGCCGCACGAGAUCGCCGCCGCCGCUGACGUCCGGGAUCGACGUCUCUCGCUGCCGUGAUCUGGUGCGUUCUCGCUGCAGCCGAAUAGGGUUUCAAGUCCACGGUAGGGAGGCGGCCUCGAGCGUUGGCCGCGCCGCCUGGGUCUCCUCGAGCUAGGGCCCCCAGCGGGGAUGGUACUAUUUCUCGCUGAUCUACACCGCGCGACGUUGAGGACUUGAAGCCACCGCCGUCUCCAGCCACCCCCGUCUCUGAUCCGAGCCGAGCACAGGGGAGCCACCGCUGCCGCCGGGGACAAGGUCGCCUGUGGAAACCGCCGCUACCUCAGGUCCUUCGAUCUCUCCCCUUCUCGCCACUCCUCAUGGCCCGCUCCGCACAGCUCGGCCUUCACGGCGGGGAUUUGCUCUAUGGCGAAGAGAGGCCGCUGCAGGCGCCAUGGUGCCGAUCCGGUCAUUGUUGUCUAGCUUCCUUUGAUGAACUAGAAGGCCAAGAGACCAAGGACUCCAGUGGGCGACUCCAAACAUGGGUACUCCUGAAACUUUAGCCAGUUACCAUGUUGAUGGUAUUUUUGGGGAACAAGGGAGGGCGUCUAUUAUUGUUAAAACCAGGCGCCUGAUUUUUUUUAAUCUUUAGCCAGCGACCACAUUGCCGCCUUAAGCGAUGAACAUGGAAGGGCGUGUGUUAUUGCAGGGAACUAUGUCUCAUCUGGUCUUCAUAGUGAUUGGUAGCUUAAAACUGUAAGCCACUUAUACUUGGGAACUACUUUUCAGUGACAGCUGUAUUGACUAAGGGAAAACUACGGCUGGCUUACGCCUACCUGAACUAUAUUCGAAACUAUCCGAGUGUAAAGCAGAUUACAACAACCUUAAAGGAGUUGUGUGAUCUGAGGAGAAACUACUCUCUUGCAAAUCGGAUAGUUGUUGUAGGAAUUAAAAGGCACAUGAUUGUACUAUUGUUCUGGGAUUUUGUUCUACACGUUCCUCCACCCUAAUGUCUACAGGAGGUGUUAGUUCAACGGAUCGAUGAAAUCACAUUACUAUAAGAAUGAUGGAUAUGGCCGCAUAAAUCGCACCGAUGGAUCCAGUCCUUUGCCAGGUCCAAUGUGCCCCGCACCAGCCUCAAGCACGCGAGACACUAUUGCCUUGUGUUCUAACUGGUUACCACGAUCAAAUCCAUUUUUGCCCAUUUAAAUUAGUUAGCUCAGUUUUGUUGAUAACUGAGUUUCAUUGGUAAUAUAUACUGAAGUGUCUUUGGCAUUCUGUUUUACAAUAUAUUCUAAUUGUCAGGAUUUUUGCUACAUUUUUGGUGUGUAGAUUUUAGGGACAUUACUGUAGUGCUAAUGCCUUCCGUGCAGUUUAUUCAGUCAGUGCAUAUUCUUUCCUUUUGCAUGUGUAUGCUUGCUCUUGUGCCCAUGUUGUAAUCGUGACCUGUAAUUAGUCCGAUAGCAACAGAAUCCUUGUGUGACGUGAUCGCAGAAGUUGGGCAUUCAUGUCACUUAAUCGUGACCUGUAAUUAAUUUUUAUUUAGUUCGUUCAGUUACUAUCAUUGGAAGUGCCAGAAAGAUCUCACCGUCAAGAGCAGCGCUGCAGGGUCAUUCACCUGGUUGUCCUCUUUGAUGUAUCUGGUGUUGUUGUGUCCAUGUGGAAGGAGAGCCCGCUUAUCCAGGACGCCGGCGCUGACAUAGUCACCAUAGGCACCGUCAUGGCAGUGCUCGACUUCAGGGAGGAGGUCGGCAACCACCACUUCUUGGACCAAUCAGAUAUUUGUUGGCAACGGCUUAUUGGUUUUGCUCAAAUCAAUAUUACUUCCACUAGCAGGAAGUGGUUCAAGCAUACUUAUCCAAAUCUUAUAAUCCUGAUGGGAGAAGACUUUGUAAGGAGUUCAGGCUGAAUGGCCAGUUAACAAGAAUCGGGUGGAUCUGCGUGUGGUGGAUGAUCGUUUACAAGGAAGGUUGAAUGUAUGGUUCCUGGAGAUGAUCAGAUGGCGCCAUGUAUUCGACCUGCGAUUUGUGGUAAGUUCCAAAAUGUACAGUGAAAAUCGGUCUUUGAGAUACAGAUAAAUUGGUUUUGCACAUAAAAUUCAUCAUGCAACUGUUAUAAUUUGGGUGCGCUUCGUAGAGUCUUUUGAAGUUUUGAUGCAUGUCGAUAUGGCAUAACAUCAGACAUCUUGCAAUAAAAUUAAUUUUCUCCCCGCUGUCUCGUGACAGAGAAUUCACCAUAUGUGUUUAAUCCAUGAAUAAAUUAGAAUAUGCUCUUCUUUAUUAUUACUUUCGGAAGAAUUAGACUGCAAUAGAUAAAUAUAUUCAAAGAUUCAAAAUGAUAUAACAAUCAGUCAGGAGAAGAUAUAUGAAAGGAAUGCAUAGCCUAAGUGUGUACAUUGGCUUCCCUGGAAAAAAAAUUGUAUGUCCAUUAGUUUUUCCCCACUGUAUCAUUGGAACUCAUUUGCACAUAUUUCCACUAGAGAGAGAGAGUAAGGUUUCCCCAUUGCAGAAAGUAUGCUGCUGCUUUGCAUAUUCGUAAAGACAUACCAUAGCAUCAGGUAUUUUCUGUUCAUCAUAAUUACUGUUUGGUUCGUCCUAGAAAGUGCAGUAGGUGUCAAGAAAAAAUACAAUAAAUUCUAUGACCUUAUAAAUUGUUUAUUAUUAAAAUUGCCAAGGUGCCUUCACCCUCUUAUUUUAUUCACACUUCCACUGAUGGAGUAAUAUGUUCUCUCUGAACCUUAACAGCCUUCAUCAAAGCUACACAAAAAAGUAACAAGAACCGACACAUUUGUUCAUAGCCUAACAAAAACUUCUACAAAGGUGCAAUCCUCAAAUAUGGGCUGUCGUACUAGCCUUAAUUCAACAUCGCGGCGGGCAGUGUGGCUGGUACUUGCGGCAGUAGCGGAGUGGUGUGCGCGAGCGCAGUGUAGGCAGUGGUGAAAGGCUCAUUGCGGUUGCGAGCACGCCGUUGGCACUAGUGGGUUUUCAGGCUGAUUGUUGCUACGAAGAAUGGAAUGGUCAUGCUAUUGGUAAAGAACACUCUCGGAAGUUGGAUCUCUCCUUUUGUGCUAUUAUUGUUGAAAUCCAGAGGCUCAUUACAAGGAAUUGUCAUGUUUUGUGUACCUUGUAAUAGUGACACGCAUGGACGUGUGAUGUUGAGUGAUAUUGGUCCUAUUUAAUAAUGGAUGGUAUAUGUGCUUUAGUGACAGACGAUUUUCUGGUUUAGGAGAGACCAAGACUGCCGAGAAAGAAAGAAGCCGAAGAGAGUUUGAAUU